Molecule: transfer RNA, 93 nt
Filed under: Candidatus Nomurabacteria bacterium
Lineage: Bacteria; Candidatus Nomuraibacteriota
Description: tRNA-Ser
Rfam family: tRNA
About the family: Transfer RNA (tRNA) molecules are approximately 80 nucleotides in length. Their secondary structure includes four short double-helical elements and three loops (D, anti-codon, and T loops). Further hydrogen bonds mediate the characteristic L-shaped molecular structure. tRNAs have two regions of fundamental functional importance: the anti-codon, which is responsible for specific mRNA codon recognition, and the 3' end, to which the tRNAs corresponding amino acid is attached (by aminoacyl-tRNA synthetases). tRNAs cope with the degeneracy of the genetic code in two manners: having more than one tRNA (with a specific anti-codon) for a particular amino acid; and 'wobble' base-pairing, i.e. permitting non-standard base-pairing at the 3rd anti-codon position.
Source: RNAcentral
GGAGGAGUACCCAAGCGGCUGAAGGGGACGGUUUGCUAAAUCGUUAGGUUGGUGAAAGCUGGCGCGGGAGUUCGAAUCUCCCCUCCUCCGCCA